RNAcentral lists this ribosomal RNA (253 nucleotides) under uncultured bacterium. RNAcentral describes it as "partial 16S ribosomal RNA". It matches the Rfam family "Bacterial small subunit ribosomal RNA", at positions 524 to 776 of the family's 1533-position model. The record is from RNAcentral.
UACGUAGGGUGCAAGCGUUGUCCGGAAUUAUUGGGCGUAAAGAGCUCGUAGGCGGUUUGUUGCGUCGGCUGUGAAAUCCCGAGGCUCAACCUCGGGUCUGCAGUCGAUACGAGCAAACUAGAGUGUUGCAGGGGAGACUGGAAUUCCUGGUGUAGCGGUGAAAUGCGCAGAUAUCAGGAGGAACACCCGUGGCGAAGGCGGCUCUCUGGAUCGACCCUGACGCUGAGGCGCGAAAGCGUGGGGAGCGAACGGG